AAGGGUAGCAUACGUGCUCACUAUCGUACACCAAAGUUAGCACCAUCCAUGUUGCGGUUCGGAAGACGGCCCUAUGUUCAGUAAACUGCUUUUAUUCGGCAAAAAACCUACUUACGUGGCUCAGAGGAAUGUGCGGUAAGAAUAAGGAUCGGCUAACUCCGGGCCAGCAGCCGAAAAAGUACGGACGCACAAGCGUUAUCCGUAUUUAUUGGGUUUAAAGGGUUCCUAGGUGGUUUUUUAAGUCAGGGGUGAAAGACGGCAGCUUAACUGUCGCAGUGCCCUUGAUACUGAAGAGCUUGAAUCCACUAGAGGUAGGCGGAAUGUGACAAGUAGCGGUGAAAUGCAUAGAUAUGUCACAGAACACCAAUUGCGAAGGUGCUUACUAUGGUGGUAUUGACACUGAGGCACGAAAGCGUGGGGAUCAAACAGGAUUAGAUCCCCCGGGGAGA
RNAcentral lists this ribosomal RNA (449 nucleotides) under uncultured Mucilaginibacter sp. RNAcentral's name for it is "bacterial SSU rRNA". It matches the Rfam family "Bacterial small subunit ribosomal RNA", at positions 341 to 794 of the family's 1533-position model. The record is from RNAcentral. Lineage: Bacteria; Pseudomonadati; Bacteroidota; Sphingobacteriia; Sphingobacteriales; Sphingobacteriaceae.